Molecule: long non-coding RNA, 2494 nt
Organism: Daphnia magna
Lineage: Eukaryota; Metazoa; Arthropoda; Branchiopoda; Diplostraca; Daphniidae
Exons: 12
Source: RefSeq, a predicted model, not a curated record
GUAAGGUUACGCAAACAAAAGCGAAUUCACUGCCUAGGAUUCGGCAACCAGCUAGAAUUGCUGCAGAUCGACCAAGAAAUUGUACCUUGUUGGAAACACGAUCUGCAAAGGAACACAUUAAGAUCAGGUGGACCAAAGCAAACAACAAAAAGGAGAGAUUCGUUGCCGUUUUGAGUUCCAUGCCAAACAGGUAAAAGCUCGAAUUGAUAAUGGCAACAAAAUAAAAGGCCAGGAAAUAUCUUUGCUUUACUGCAAAAACGAAAUGUCUGACGUCUUCGUGCUGGCUGUUUAAUAACUGAACUUCACGUCGCUCGAUUUCCAUCUGGAUCAGCUCGAAUGCAAGAGACGAAGCAUAGCAGUGAACGACAAACAGUAGCAAGGCAGUCAUUGGAUAGAUGGCUGAUAAUGUCGAAAUAGAAGUGAUGAAGAUUGUUAAAAGAAGUUCUCCUGCGCAGAUGAUAAUCCGUGACCAACAAAAGAAUCCCAGACACCUUUAAUCAUUCAGGUUCUUACCACCAAGAUGAUGUAAACGAUUCCCAACGAAGAUAUUCUGCGAAUUCGAUUGUAAUUGUCUGCAGCUACAACGAGUUUCAUUCGAUUGAAACUUUCCAGCAGAUCGAGUGGUCGCAUGGCAGUCAGCAAGAUAACGUGAGUUCUAAUUGCAUGAAUACCAUAAUUAAUGAAAUCGAUUAUUCAGUUCCACGUAGCCGUUUCUGUGCUGAAAACCAUUAGCCCUUGGGGCGGAUCAAGCGAGGCCUGCAUUCGUAUGGUGUGCAAAAAAUAGAAAAUGUCCGCAAGACAAGUGACGUGCAACAACAAACAGAAAACUCUGUAUGCAAAUGUAAGCCACCGAAAGGUCUUUCCGGCUAAAGGUGAAAUCUCUGCCAGUUCAACGCCAAGAAUCCGGUUCCAGAUUAACAACGGACGAAUGGCCCAUGCCCAGCAUUUAGUUGGAGAUGGAUUGUCGUCUCAGUGGAAUUUCGAUUCGGCAAUGAUGUCUUUAAGGAGCUGAAUGUUUAAAACCCUUAACAGCACGCAAGGAGGGGCAGCAUCUGACAACAGAUGAGCCAGCAGCAGCCGUGUGUAAAAAAAACGAAGAAUUUAUCUGGCAACGAAGAAUUUAUCGGGCAACGUUACUUUGCUUGCACAAAAGUGGAAGCAUCUGUUAGUGACGACAAGUGUUAGUCUUCACUUGCGUCAUGAACUACGUCGUAACAGAAAUAUUUUCAUUGCUGCACACCACACCGAAUCAAUCCAUCACAGAAGGAAAGUGAUAGUUUUGCUGUAGUUGGAAGUACCUUCAGCAACAUACUCUUGUCUCAUUUCCACAUUCCUUGAAGAUGGCAUCCGCAUGUACUUCCAAUAGAAUGAGCAGAGAGAAUACAUGGACAUCUCUUGGGGAUGUGGUAAGUUCUUGGCCGUCAUCAUCAACCUGUUUGGACAACUUGAUGGUAGUUUCAUGCUACUCCUUCGUUGGAAGUUGAUAUCGCCAGUGCCCAAAGUUUGGCAUUGUGUGCAUGCAGCCAAAGAUUAGAAUGGCAUCAUUUGAGAAGCAAACUAACAACUCAGCUAGCCAGUAAUGCCCUUGGAGAUCAUACUGUAAAGCAACUAUCCAUCAUAUCAGAGAAACGGAUAGAGAAAAUUCGUGAAGAACGAAAUGCAGAAAAUCUUAUUGAGGGAUUCGAAAGAUAUGUCUACAGCUUUGGUGCAGAAGUCAUUUUUGCCAUUAUUGUGGACCGACGUCUGGAAGCCUUAAGUAAGAGUUGCUUCCCGCCUAUUGCUGAGCGUUUAAUGUUUGCAACGAAAAAUCUGUUUGAAGUGUCUCAUGAAAGUACGCAUGAACUUCCAUGGUGGAAAUAUUUUCCUACAAAAUCUUAUAGAAAACUAGCAAAAUGUGAGGACAUCAUGUACGACGUAUUUUCAGAUUUGAUUAAUAAAGACCUUAUCAGUGGAGAGGCUACUGAGACGCAAUCGUUGGUUUUAAAUCAAAUUUUGACUGCUGAAGGUGUUGACACCCGUGAUAAUCGUCUCGCUUAUCGAUCUUGUUGCAGCUGGUAUUGAAACGACGGGAAAUGCCACCAUGUUCCUUUUACACGAUAUCUUGAACAAUCCAGAGGUAAAGGUUCACGUUUACGAAGAGCUGGACCAAGUUCUUCUUUCUCCGGAAGACGCAAAAACUCCUCCGAUUCUUUUGAAGUUAAAAUGCCUUAUAGCGUGCAUCACUGAAAGUCUUAGGAUGACACCUGUGGCUCCUAAUGUGGCGCGCAUAUUAGAAAACCGUUUAUCUUUCGAUGUUAUUACGUUGCUGUUGGAGUCAGCUUUUAACUUACUUUAAAUUCUUCCUACCUCUCAUUUCGCAAUUGGACUUCUCUUCCUCUGCGUUUCAGUCAAUUUUCCUACUUUUAAUUUAGCACUUUUUUCGCGGGUUGCAAAGAAAGAGAAAUAGGAAUAGCAGAGUAAUAGAAUACUGGUGAAGCCACGCUUAUGGCGGGCC